RNAcentral lists this long non-coding RNA (776 nucleotides) under Marmota monax (woodchuck). The record is from RNAcentral. Lineage: Eukaryota; Metazoa; Chordata; Mammalia; Rodentia; Sciuridae.
CGAGACCCGCCCCCUUGCUUACGUCACUAGCUCCGCGCUUCGCAAACUUCCCAAAAUUUCAGUCCGGGUUAAACAGAGCCUCGCGCUGUCCAUCAAGGGGUCUUUCUUAGCUUCGACCUGCUCACCUGUAUGACUUUUGGAACCUCUGGGGUCUCGGGGGCUGCGUUCCGGACCCCUCGGCGGGAGGGGAUCCCGGCCCCGCCUCCCCGGAGUUCCUGUGACGCAAUUAGCCAUAUAAGGAGCUCGGCCGCCGCAGCCGAGUGUUUGUUUGGUAUCCUAGCAAUGACGUCAGAGGGAAUCCCUCGCUCGUUCUCGGCGCGCACCCUGUGUGCCUGCGGAACCCGCCCGCGCCUGCGCAGUGCUAAGCCGCCCCGGGGGCUGGUAUUAAUAGGCGCUUAAAUUGUCCCGGGAAGGCCGGUGCUGACCCUGGUGUGGGAGGCCCCCAACUUAAGGGUCUUCUUUACUUCUGGCGCCCCCACCCGCCCGUCUGCCGCUGAUGCAGCGCCCCCACUCAAUAGGAAGAGCCGAUCUCCAAAAGGAGACCCUAAUUAGUGUGGUGUAGCCACGUAGGCGGGGAAACUGAGUCCCAAGCGGGAUUGGAAGCGCUGUGAUGCUCCAGGUGAAAGUGGAGGUGGGGUUCAAGUCCCAGGGCUAGUCUCAGCUUCUGCCCUGACUCGCUGAGCUUGGGAAAUGUUUCCCCUCUCUUGACCUUCAGCUGCGCUUUUCCCUGCUGAGCGAAGGGUGUGUGUUUGGGACCCGGCUGGCCUCGGGGUCCC